GAUGAACGCUGGCGGCGUGCCUAAUACAUGCAAGUCGAGCGAACAGACGAGGAGCUUGCUCCUCUGACGUUAGCGGCGGACGGGUGAGUAACACGUGGAUAACCUACCUAUAAGACUGGGAUAACUUCGGGAAACCGGAGCUAAUACCGGAUAAUAUAUUGAACCGCAUGGUUCAAUAGUGAAAGACGGUUUUGCUGUCACUUAUAGAUGGAUCCCCGCCGCAUUAGCUAGUUGGUAAGGUAACGGCUUACCAAGGCAACGAUGCGUAGCCGACCUGAGAGGGUGAUCGGCCACACUGGAACUGAGACACGGUCCAGACGCCUACGGGAGGCAGCAGUAGGGAAUCUUCCGCAAUGGGCGAAAGCCUGACGGAGCAACGCCGCGUGAGUGAUGAAGGUCUUCGGAUCGUAAAACUCUGUUAUUAGGGAAGAACAAAUGUGUAAGUAACUAUGCACGUCUUGACGGUACCUAAUCAGAAAGCCACGGCUAACUACGUG
This 497-nucleotide ribosomal RNA is filed under the name uncultured bacterium. Its description in RNAcentral is "partial 16S ribosomal RNA". It matches the Rfam family "Bacterial small subunit ribosomal RNA", at positions 28 to 507 of the family's 1533-position model. The record is from RNAcentral.